Molecule: ribosomal RNA, 1353 nt
Filed under: metagenome
Description: bacterial LSU rRNA
Rfam family: Bacterial large subunit ribosomal RNA
Source: RNAcentral
UGAAUACGAAAUGCUACGGCAUUGAAGUGAUCUAUGCCAUGCUUCCAAGAAAAUCUCGUCAUAUCUUAAACAAUAGGUGCCUGUACCUUAAACCGACACAGGUAGGUAGGUAGAGUAUACCAAGGGGCGCGAGAUAACUCUCUCUAAGGAACUCGGCAAAAUAACCUCGUAACUUCGGAAGAAGAGGUACCCUUGAAAAAGGGUUGCAAUAACCAGACCCUGGCGACUGUUUUCCAAAAACACAGGUCUCCGCUAAUUCGUAAGAUCAAGUAUGGAGGCUGACGCCUGCCCAGUGCCGGAAGGUUAAAGAAGUUGGUCAAUCUUUGGAUGAAGCUGGCGACUGAAGCCCCGGUGAACGGCGGCCGUAACUAUAACGGUCCUAAGGUAGCGAAGUUCCUUGUCGGGUAAGUUCCGACCCGCACGAAAGGCGUAACGAUCAGGGUGCUGUCUCGGAGAGAGACUCGGCGAAAUAGACAUGUCUGUGAAGAUGCGGACUACCUGCACCUGGACAGAAAGACCCUAUGAAGCUUUACUGUAUCUUGGAAUUGGGUUUGGGCCUUGCUUGCGCAGGAUAGGUGGGAGGCUAUGAAAAUAUUCUUGCGGGAAUGUUGGAGCCAACGGUGAGAUACCACUCUAGUAAGGCUAAAAUUCUAACUCUGAACCGUUAUCCGGUCAGAGAACAGUUUCAGGUGGGCAGUUUGACUGGGGCGGUCGCCUCCUAAAAGGUAACGGAGGCGCGCAAAGGUUUCCUCAGGCUGGUUGGACAUCAGUCGUAGAGUGUAAAGGCAUAAGGGAGCUUGACUGCGAGACCCACAAGUCGAGCAGAGACGAAAGUCGGCCUUAGUGAUCCGACGGUUCCACGUGGAAGGGCCGUCGCUCAACGGAUAAAAGUUACUCUAGGAUAACAGGCUGAUCUCCCCCAAGAGUUCACAUCGACGGGGAGGUUUGGCACCUCGAUGUCGGCUCAUCGCAUCCUGGGGCGGUAGUACGUCCCAAGGGUUGGGCUGUUCGCCCAUGAAAGCGGUACGCGAGCUGGGUUCAGAACGUCGUGAGACAGUUCGGUCCAUAUCCGGUGCAGGCGUUAGAGCAUUGAAAGGAGUCCCCCUUAGUACGAGAGGACCGGGGGGAAUACACCGCUGGUGUACCAGUUAUCGUGCCAACGGUAAACGCUGGGUAGCCAUGUGUAGCGUGGAUAACUGCUGAAAGCAUCUAAGUAGGAAGCCCACCUUAAGAUGAGUGCUCUCACCGCUAUAAGCGGGUAAGGUCACGGUAAGAACAACCGUUAUAUAGGCAUUAAGUAUACGUGCAGUAAUGCAUUUAGCUAAGAUGUACUAACAGACCGAGGGCUUGAUC